GCGUGAAUGGCGGAAUUGGCAGACGCACUAGACUUAGGAUCUAGCGGGGCAACCCGUGGGGGUUCGACUCCCCCUUCGCGCA
Molecule: transfer RNA, 82 nt
Filed under: Ignavibacteriota bacterium
Lineage: Bacteria; Pseudomonadati; Ignavibacteriota
Description: Ignavibacteriae bacterium (groundwater metagenome) tRNA-Leu
Rfam family: tRNA
About the family: Transfer RNA (tRNA) molecules are approximately 80 nucleotides in length. Their secondary structure includes four short double-helical elements and three loops (D, anti-codon, and T loops).
Source: RNAcentral